AAUUCAAACCUGCCAAACAACAGGACUCAAGCAUUUCGCUCGACAUUCAUGUUUUUCCUUUGAAAAUACUAAAUUCUUGUUAGGUUGGUUUAGAUGAAGGUAUUAAGUGUCAAGGAAUGAACCUCAUUUCAUUGGCAAUUGAAUACCAUUAUCUAAAGCACACCUAACAAAAAUUUAUUCUUUUCAAAGGAAAACAUGAAUGCCGGGCGAAAUGCGUGACUCAUGUUGUUUGGCAGGUUUGAAUUU
Molecule: microRNA precursor, 246 nt
Filed under: Medicago truncatula (barrel medic)
Lineage: Eukaryota; Viridiplantae; Streptophyta; Magnoliopsida; Fabales; Fabaceae
Description: miR2592ab stem-loop (mtr-MIR2592ab)
Source: miRBase by way of RNAcentral